UACGGGGGGGGCAAGCGUUGUUCGGAAUUACUGGGCGUAAAGGGCUCGUAGGCGGCCAACUAAGUCGGACGUGAAAUCCCUCGGCUUAACCGGGGAACUGCGUCCGAUACUGGAUGGCUUGAGUUCGGGAGAGGGAUGCGGAAUUCCAGGUGUAGCGGUGAAAUGCGUAGAUAUCUGGAAGAACACCUAUGGCGAAGGCAGCUCUCUGGGACGGUACUGACGCUGAGACGCGAAAGCGUGGGGAGCGAACAGG
RNAcentral lists this ribosomal RNA (253 nucleotides) under uncultured bacterium. Its description in RNAcentral is "partial 16S ribosomal RNA". It matches the Rfam family "Bacterial small subunit ribosomal RNA", at positions 524 to 776 of the family's 1533-position model. The record is from RNAcentral.